Non-coding RNA from Carica papaya (papaya), 4490 nucleotides. NCBI's taxonomy places the organism in Eukaryota, Viridiplantae, Streptophyta, Magnoliopsida, Brassicales, Caricaceae. The record is from RefSeq and is a predicted model, not a curated record.
AGAAGCAUUUCAAGUGGCGACACCCUUUCAAGAUAAACCAGCGUAAUUCAGUAAGUUGGAAAUAGAAAUAGGUAACCUUCAACCCGUGCUUCAGAGAAGUUGAGACUUUGGAGAUGAACCAUUUGCUGCAACAAACAUCUGGAAUUAUCAUCAAUGAUGUAGUACCAGUUAUCUCAAAAAUAAAUAAUGAUUUGAGCCCUUGUAUCCAAUUAAUAUUCUCCAGAAACUCACAGCCCCUUAAGAUAAGCAUUGCAAGCUCUUGCAUGUGUGAAAAGGAUUCUGGUAGAGAUUUGAGCAUGGGCUUGAAGAUGCCAAGAACAUUGAGACCAUUCAGGAUACGAAAAAAUGCAUCCGGAACUUCAUUGCCUAGAAAAUUGCCAUGAAGAAAUAAUGAUGGGAUUUUCUCUGAUUUGCUGCUAUAUCCAACUAUUCUUAUCACGCCAUCAAUCAGUGCGAUGUUCCCAAAUCCUUCCCAAAUUUUGUCCUUCAAAGCAGAAAACAUUGAGCAACUCUCCGUACCUAUAAAUCUUUGGGAAUUUCUACUUGAAUAAUGUCCUCCAUCUCUGUUCUUGUGAUAAAUUUCUUCAUAUCUGAUCCACCAAUAAGGUACUUUCAUUGUACAGCCCACCAUUGCAACAUAGUUGGAUUGCACAUUUUUGGAAAAGAAUCCUUGAAUCAUGUAGACUUCUUCAUAGGUAGUAAGAACAAUUCAAAAGUAACUUAAAUUCAUCAAAGAAAUUGGGAACAAGAGGAAAAGAAGUAGGACUUCUUCUCGGGUUGGAUUCCCACGUGGGCAGGAAUUCUUUUACCUCUUGAACUCUUCCCGCAAGUUCUUUUCCUCCUAGGACGCGUUUUUAGACUUCUUCUAGGUUUUUUCCUCUUAACCGCAUGUUGUCUUUCUCUUGAAAUGGAAUUUUUCAAGAAAUUCAAGAAGAGAAAUGGUUUAGGAGUGGGACUCCUCAUGGGGGAAAGAUUCCCACGCGGGCAGGGCUCUCCUGUCCAGUUCCUUCUCGGCCAUGUGUGUGGAGCAUGUCGUGGGGCCCUCAAGGCCAAGUAGGCCAAGACUAACUUCCUUUUCGGCCAAGACUUGGCCUUUGUCCUUGCCAUACAAUCUCCCAAGCCUGCGGGUUCUCAAGUGUACCUCAAGCCCACUUUCUUGAACAAUCUUGGGCCUUUCUUGAUAUUAGGCCAGUAUAAAAAACCAAUUUAUGUUGAAAGUCAAAUCCACGUUGAAGUUGGAGUCGGGGAAGUCCUUGCAAGAGGAGGAUUCCUCUUUUCGGUGGGAAUCAUUCUCAUCGAGGGAUUCCUCCUGUCCGCAGGAAUCCUUCUCAGUGAGGGAUUCCUCCUUCCCCUGGGAAGUUGCUAUCCUGGUGGUUGCUUCUAGCUUGUAGGAUAUAUCUCCUGUGCCUUUGGGAAUUUUUUUGGCUUAGUUGUGCUCACAUCAAGCACCUUUGCUUUCCUUGUAGAUACCUUUAAAUAAUCCUUUUAAAAUCUGGAUUUCUAACUUGUCUAUUCAAAAGAGAGAAUGUCUCCGUUGCAGACAAGGGUUUCAUCUCCACUGCCUUCAAGUAAAGACCAAUAGGAUUUUCAGAGUAAUCUAUGGUGGUGACUAAGACUGUAAUGAAGGCUGCUUAAAAUCAAGAACCAAGGAUUCAAAUCCUGAUACAAUUUCAUUUACUUUCAUCCCCUUAUAAACUCCAUCCAAUAUUAGAAGACAUCUCUUCUUAUGAAUAGCUGCUGAUGGUUUCUGUUUCAGAUAAUCUUUUCUUUGCAUUUCCUCAUCAUCCGCAUCCGACUCCUCAGUUGGCAGACAUACAGGCAACUGAGAACCAAUACUCUCACGUGGAGAUUUCUUGUCAUGUUUUCUGCUCAUAGAAAGCCAAAAACAUAAAUCAAACGGACUUUUUUCCUCUACAAGAUCAUGAACCUUCUUUGCCAUCCAUGUUUUCCUUAUUCCUGGUUUCCCAACAAGACACACUACUAUGACAUGGUCAGCAUCCAGUAUGAAUUGUAUGCGCAAACCCAGUGUGUCCCCAUUGGCCAUGGUUGGCCCUGUUGCAAAAUAUUUUAUGACAGAAGUUACAACUUAAGAUUACAGGAAUCACGGUAAGAAUGGUGAAAGAGGGUGUACCUAAGAGUAGGAGGGGGAGAAUGCCCAAAAUUUGAUGACUUUUUUACAUGCUUCUUUCUCUUUGUUUGGGCAAUACAAAACUGGACUAUGACCAUAAGUUCUGGAAUUGAGAAACAAUGAUGACAGUCAGGCCUGUCUUGGGUUGCCGAGGUUCCCUCCCCAAACGAAACACAUGGCCUCUCAGAAAACAAAUGAAAUUACACUUGAAUGAAGACUUUCAGAACUUUGAGAAGUAUCUCCAGUAGAUCCAUGACGUAAUUCUACCAGCUUUGCUUGAUAAUUUGGUGAAGAUGAGGAACUCUGUCUCCACACUCGAAAUCCACAAGACAAGUGAUGCUACUAUCAGCAACUCAGAUCUGGACGAUCAACUCAAGGAAUAGGAGCUGGAAAUCAACAAGCAGAUGCGAGCACUUCUCCUUCCCAACCUCGACAAUAUUCUGAUAGAAAUUGAGGAGGCUGAGAAAGCAGAGGAAGAUCUUCGUGCAGCUGCACAAGGUAGAGAAGCCACUGAAGAAGCUCGUACCGCCGCCACGGAAGCCUGCGAUAGAAGCUUUGGAAGAAGCCUGGCAAGCUGAACGAAAAGCUCUCGAGUCUGAACGCCCGGGCCUAUGAAAAACAGACAGAUGAUAAAACAUCUGCCUUGCAUACCAUUCAGAAGAUUCAAAUCCAGAAUGUUUAUUGAGAAAGAUUACCACGGAGUUGAAAGGGAAUCUCAUCAAAUUGCUUCGCAUCACAAGCCAGAUGAUGCUCAAACCCAACCCUCAAAGAUCACAGCUGCAAACGAGCAGAAAGAAGAUGAUCAGGAAUGGUUGGUCAAGUGGUCAGAUCUCCAUCUGCAGGAUGAAAAUUUUUGCGAGAGCUCGGCCUUCAAAGCGAUUGAGGAGCAAUAUGUAAAACUGGAACCUAUUUUGAAGGUAUGUUUACUAUUUUUGGUCAUUUUACCAGAUAAUGUCGUCAUAAAGAAAACUGCUAUAAUCUACUGGUGGAUUGGAGAGGGAUUUUUAGUAACAGAACCACGUUCAACAAAGACAGUGAAGGACACUGCAAAUGAGUUGUUGGAGGAGCCCAUGCCGAAGGGCUUCAUUGAGCCUGUCAACAAGAAGAUAAGCCCCAUUGUGCAGUGAUUUCGAAUGAACCCUUUUUGUGCACCUUGUGCUGCUUAUGUUGGUCUAGAAGAAAAAAUUCUUUGAUAUUGAUUCUGUUGGGAACUUCCAAGCAGAUUGUUUUACACACUCCAAAAGAGCAUGCCUGGUUAGAUCUGAGCAAUGUUCUUCCCAGUAUAAAUUAAGAAAUAAGAGCCCUGAAUAUCUGCAGACCUUAUUCAAUGUGAAUAAAUCCUAUAUUGACUUGAAGAGUUUCUGGCUGUCAAGAGCCAAAUAUCUGAAUGUUCUUCAUCUGGGUCGGUGGCAACUCUCCUCCAAGAAUUACAUUGAAGUGACCAACACAGAGUUCUUGAGAACACUGGGUGAUUUGAAACAUUUGAGGUACAUAAACUUGCAAGGAAUAUCUAGAAUUCAUGAGCUUCUAUCAUCAAUUUCAAACUUCGCCACUUGAAGAUCCUGGAUCUUAGAGCCUGCCGCAAUCUGGAGAAACUUCCUUCUGGAAUAUCCUUGCUUGAAAACAUGGAAUAUUUAGACAUGUUCAAGUGCCAUCUGAUAGGCAACAUAACAUGCUUGUGGGCAACACUCACAAAACUCCAAAGUACUCAAGGGGUUUGCCAUUUGGAAUCCUAAAGCCAAUGGACAAAGUAUAAGUUAUCUCAGUUGACAAAACUUAGCAAGUUGAGAAAGUUGAGCUUGAACAUAUAUGAAAGCAUGGAUGAUGACAUAGCAGAGCGUGAAUUAGAGCAUUUGGGAAGUUUCAUUCCCUGACAUGGCUAGGAGUUCCUCCAUCAAAAUCUCGCAAAGCUAGCACUAAAUUAGCAGAGGCAAUACUAUGUCACAUCUUCCGCCCACGUUAGAGAAACCGGAUCUUUGUUGCUUCCCUUAUUACGAAUUGCCCAGCUGGCUACAAGGAAUGGAGACACUCAAAAAACUGUACAUCAGAGGUUGACAACUUCCUUCGAUGACAAAUUAUAGGAUUCAUGGAAUUAGCAUUUUACGUCUCAAGUUUCUGAUUGACUUGGAGAUAACCUGGCCUCAGCUUCCCUGGCGUUGGUUUGCUUUGAAAAGGUUAAUUGUCCUAAACUCGACGGUUGUGGAGAGUGGAGAUAGGACCCACCAGGAAGCCUCUCCCAAGCUUAAUAAUUCUCUUACAAAUGACCCUUGCAAACUCAAGAUUGUUAAUUUCUUUCCAAAAGAGUCAAAGAAAAAGUGUUUCUAUUUCUUAGAAAAUACAAAAAAAAAAAAAAAAAAAAAAA